Molecule: long non-coding RNA, 1381 nt
Organism: Cyprinus carpio (common carp)
Lineage: Eukaryota; Metazoa; Chordata; Actinopteri; Cypriniformes; Cyprinidae
Source: Ensembl
CUGUCCUUUUACUUUGUGUACAUAUGUGAGCGAGUUAUGCCCGAGUAUGAUCCACUCAACUUUUCCUAUAAAAGAGAAGUUAAUAUAAGUUUAAGGAUCUAAUGUUCUCUGUAUGUAAUGUUAAUCAGCUUUUUUUGAGGAGUGUUUUUAAGUCAGUGUUUUAGUUCUCAAAUUGAAGGUGUAGGCUCAUAUUGAUUUAAAUUUUUCUAUUAGCUUGCUUACAGAGAUGUCUCGACUGAAUUGUCGAUUAUAGUGUUUCCAUUAGAAAUUUGGCUCACCAGUCGCCACUGACCAAUCAGGAUCAAGUAUUAGGCUACAUUCAGGAUAGGGCUCUUUGUCUUUGCCAAGUGGCACGCGUCGGGGGCUGGUUACCGCAGGAACAUGCUGGCACUCUGCCAUUCCCAAGCCACCGCCAACUUCCCAGCGGCAUACGGCGACGCAGAGAUCCUGGCACUCUGCCGAAGGUUGGUGCGUGCCAACGAGAAUAACAAGACAAGUUGCAUAUCUCCAUUAUUACAAAGCAGAUGCCGUCGUACCCGCGUCGAGUGGCAUCGACACCAGGGCAUGUGCUGCUUACUCUCUAGGGGAUGUGCCUACUUGGAGCCUGGCACGGUCACGAAGGAGACGGCGAACACAGGAUGGCGAAGCCUGCAGGAACCGAAAUUACGAGGUCUUGGCAAAGACAUCUGCGCUUUUCUAAAACAACAAGAGGAUAAAAGCAACUUCCUGUCAGUGUACACUUGUUCCCUAUGCCAUUUGCAAUGCCCUUCGGACUGAGUGGAUGCACUUCCUGCGAUUUAAAAAGAUGACCAGAUAUGAGAAGUUUGCUUUAGUAAGUCGCUGCUGGGGGAACAGAACAUAUCAAAUUCUAUGUAAGUUUACUCAUAAUGCCACACAUGCAUACUAUCAUCUUUGUUGCAUAUACAGUACAUACAACUUGCAUUAAAAACUGGGGGGUGGGGUGCUUUAAAUAUGGCUAUCGAAUGAAUGCAAAUUGCAUUGCAGUCAGAUCAUCCACAUAAACACACACACACACACACUCUCUCUCUAUGCACACACGUUUAAGUGAGUAACAGUAAUGGGAGGCCGUGUGGCCGCAUUGGAAUAUAAAUCACAUUUCCCAUCAGCCUCUGCUCUGACCUCUGACCUCCACUCUGAUAUGGUGUUCAAGAAAAUGUAUAUGUGUGAGUGCGUGUGUGUGAGUAUCUCUUGGUCGAUAGCUACAGGAUCUCUGCUCUUCUACACUACAUUAUUCUCACAUCUGUCCAUUAGCAGGGCCGCAGAGAGUAAAUCUCCUCACCUACACACACACACACACAGAGAGAGAGAGGUGUGAUAUUACUGUAAGAUCACCGUGGAAUAAAACUUACCAUGCAUGUCA